This 928-nucleotide ribosomal RNA is filed under the name Bacteroides sp. TATAC-03. RNAcentral's name for it is "bacterial SSU rRNA". It matches the Rfam family "Bacterial small subunit ribosomal RNA", at positions 530 to 1471 of the family's 1533-position model. The record is from RNAcentral. Lineage: Bacteria; Pseudomonadati; Bacteroidota; Bacteroidia; Bacteroidales; Bacteroidaceae.
GAGAUCGAGCGUUAUCCGGAUUUAUUGGGUUUAAAGGGAGCGUAGGUGGAUUGUUAAGUCAGUUGUGAAAGUUUGCGGCUCAACCGUAAAAUUGCAGUUGAAACUGGCAGUCUUGAGUACAGUAGAGGUGGGCGGAAUUCGUGGUGUAGCGGUGAAAUGCUUAGAUAUCNCGAAGAACUCCGAUUGCGAAGGCAGCUCACUAGACUGUCACUGACACUGAUGCUCGAAAGUGUGGGUAUCAAACAGGAUUAGAUACCCUGGUAGUCCACACAGUAAACGAUGAAUACUCGCUGUUUGCGAUAUACAGUAAGCGGCCAAGCGAAAGCAUUAAGUAUUCCACCUGGGGAGUACGCCGGCAACGGUGAAACUCAAAGGAAUUGACGGGGGCCCGCACAAGCGGAGGAACAUGUGGUUUAAUUCGAUGAUACGCGAGGAACCUUACCCGGGCUUAAAUUGCAUUUGAAUAUGUAGGAAACUAUAUAGCCGCAAGGCAAAUGUGAAGGUGCUGCAUGGUUGUCGUCAGCUCGUGCCGUGAGGUGUCGGCUUAAGUGCCAUAACGAGCGCAACCCUUAUCUUCAGUUACUAACAGGUCAUGCUGAGGACUCUGGAGAGACUGCCGUCGUAAGAUGUGAGGAAGGUGGGGAUGACGUCAAAUCAGCACGGCCCUUACGUCCGGGGCUACACACGUGUUACAAUGGGGGGUACAGAAGGCAGCUACCUGGUGACAGGAUGCUAAUCCCAAAAACCUCUCUCAGUUCGGAUCGAAGUCUGCAACCCGACUUCGUGAAGCUGGAUUCGCUAGUAAUCGCGCAUCAGCCAUGGCGCGGUGAAUACGUUCCCGGGCCUUGUACACUACCGCCCGUCAAGCCAUGAAAGCCGGGGGUACCUGAAGUACGUAACCGCAAGGAGCGUCCUACGGGAAAACCUG